AAUCAACACUCCACUCAGACAAUGCCCAGACCUCCAGAAACCAUGUGUCAAGCUCGGAUUGCCUUAGACAGGUGCAAUUUAAGAACAGCUUUCAUCCUCUUUUCUCUCAUAUUGUCACACUAUGUGUUCUGACUUCUGGCUCCUUUCCUCACAAGAAGCUCACCCAGCUGGAACUCUUAUGGGACCUUGGCACCAGAGACCACAAAUUCCUCUUUGAAGUUUUCUAACAGCAACAAUGGUAUUUCUGACUUGGCUUUCUUGUAUUUCUCUCACGUUAACAAAAUUGGUUCAGCAUCUACCAUGGGCUACAUGCUGAGCUACAGGUAAGGUUUGGCUAAAGGAUGAAUAAGAACCCCUCCUUGUCUUCAGGAGUUUGUCUAGCAGAGGAGUCUGUCAUGUAAUCAGGAAACUCCAGUACACAACGUGAUAGCUCUAAGACAGGUAUAUACAAGAUGAUGUUCUGGACCUUAACUGUUUGGGGAGUACUACUGCCUUUGUCUAAAAGCCAUCACCCUUUUUAUAUGCCAUUUGGGAGGAACUGGGGGGACGUGGGAGGCUUCAAAGGGUUAUGGGAGGAUGGACAUUUUAAAAGGGCUUUUCUUUUCUUUUUUUUUUUUUGAGACAGAGUUUCGCUCUGUCGCCCAGGCUGGAGUGCAGUGGCGCGCGAUCUCGGUUCACUGCAAGCUCCACCUCCCGGGUUCACGCCAUUCUCCUGCCUCAGCCUCCUGAGUAGCUGGGACUACAGGCGCCCGCCACCACACCCAGGUAAUUUUUUGCAUUUUUAGUAGAGACGGGGUUUCACCGUGUUAGCCAGGAUGGUCUCGUUCUCCUGACCUCAUGAUUCACCCGCCUUGGCCUUCCAAAAUGCUGGGAUUACAGGCGUGAGCCACUGUGCCCUGCCAAAGGCCUUUUCAAAUCUAACGAUGUACUCACAUUUCCACCUGUCUGCCAGCCCUUGUCCAGUUUGACCUGGGCACUCACUGCUGCUCUGGUGGUGAGUACUGCUGAUGGUUCUUUUCCCUGCCCAUCCUUGAGGUGCUCGCUUCAAUAUGUCAAAUGAGGACUCUCAUUACAUUUGGCUGUCAUACAUCAGCCACAACUGUCCUGCCCAGAAGAGCUGGCCUUGGCUUUAAAGCCUACAUCCUGGCUGACCUUCUUUACUGCUUUAUUAAGGAAUCCAACUUGCUGUUUGCUAUCACAUGUGCUAUACAUGCUGUUGAUGAAACUGCUAAAGGGGCUGAAUGUGACUGACGUCUUUGGAAGGAUGAGACUUAGCGUGCCUGUACAGUUGUGUCCAAAUGCUGUCCUCAUCUCCCAAUGAAAAGCUGAACUAGGGCCAUGCCUGGGACAGACAGAGAAUGGCCUUCCAGCAGACAUGCCAAGAAGCAAGCCAGGGUCAGUGAGUGAAGAGGAGGGCAGGCCCAUUUGAAGCAACACAGUUUAUCAAGGAGUCUUUAGCAACAUGAAAACGAACGUGUGUUAUUUGCAAACCAAGUAUAUCAUUACUGAACCUGAAUAUCCUUACUUUUUCAUAAGAUACAUGAAAAGAAAGAAGGAGAGAAGGAAGAAAGGAGGGCGGAAGGAAAGGAAGAAGGGAGAGAAGAAGAGAAGAAAGAAGCAGAGAAAGGAAGAGAAAAGAAAUUACGGCCAGUGCGGUGGCUCACGCCUGUAAUCCUAGCACUUUGGGAGGCCUAAGCGGGCUGAUCACCUGAGGUCAGGAGUUCGUAAGCCAGCCUGGCCAACAUGGUGAAACCCUAUCUCUACUAAAAAUACAAAAAUCAGCAGGGCAUGGUGGUGCGUGCCUGUAAUCCCAGCUACCUGGGAGGCUGAGGUAGGAGAAUCGCUGGAACCCGAGAGGCGGAGGCUGCAGUGAGUUGAGAUCAUGUCACUGCACUCCAGGCUGGGCAACAGAGUGAGACUCUGUCUCAGAAAAAAAAAAAAAGAAAGAAAGAAAGAAAGAAAGUUACCAUUAGUUUUUUGUUGUAUUUGCAAGCAAAGACAAAAGCACCAAGGUACUUGUUUCCUUCUGUAAUUAGAGUUUCAAAUAGACUAAAAGUUUCUGCUCUUAGGUGGGUCUAGAGACUCUCCAGUACCUCAGGACCUCAGGACACAUGGGGUCUCUUGGUUGUUUUCUUUUCAUUGUUGUUGUUUAUUUUAUUUUUGUUUUUAUUUUUUAACUUUAAAACAAUUUUUUGUAGAUGAAUAUGCUUACAUAUGUUUGGGGGUUUUUUUGAGACAGGGUCUUGCUCUGUUGCCCAGGCUGGAGAGCGGUGGUUUAACCACAGCUCACUGCAGCCUCGACCUCCCAAGGUAGGGACUGCAGGUGUGUACACUGGGGUGCACCACCACACCCAGCUAAUUUUUAAAUUUUUUUUUGUAGAUAUUGUCUCACUCUGUUGGCCAGACUGGUCUUGAAAUCCUGGGCUCGAGCAAUUCUCCUGCCUCGGCCUCGUAACGCGUUAGGAUUACAAGCGUGAACACCGCACCUGGCCAGCAUGUGGUCUCUUAACCAGAGGAGGCCUCUUCUGAACUAGGUAGAGGUCCUGAGAAUUGAUUCUGAGAGUAAAAGGCUCUUUGUUCUCCUCAGAGUAGAUUAGAAUCCCUAAUGAUAGAGCAUCUAUUAUUCCUCUAGUGGUCCAUGCCCAACAGAUUCAUCCAAGAAUAGAUGAAGAUCUUUGUAAUGUUGUGCAAGUAAUCUAAUCACCCCACAGAAGAGCUGUGACUUAAAUUAUCCCAGAGUCGGCCCACCUGUUUUCAUAAAGAUCAAUGUAACUUGUAAAUUUCUUCAGUUCUCCUCACCUAUCAUCAUUUGACUAACAAAACCCAGAAAACUAGGCUAGUUAUGGUGGCCUAUGCAUAUAAUCCCAACUCUUUGAGAGGCCAGGGUGGGUGGAUUGCUUGAGUCCAGGAAUUCGAGACCAGCCUGGGCAACAAAGGGAGACCCUGCCUAUAUCCCAGCUAUGCAGGAGGCGAGGCCAGAGGAUUGCCUGAGCCUCAGAGGUUGAGGCUGUAGUGAGCCAUGAUUGCCCCACUACACUCCAGCCUGGAUGACAGAGUGAGACCCUGCCUUAAAAAUAAUAAUAAUAGUAAUAAUAUUUCAUAAAGAUACAGGAAACUAGAUUAUAAUUGACAUUUUCAAAGUGAAAUACUGUCUAGAAUGGUGCUUGGCCAACAGUAAGCUUUUUGUAAGUGGAAGUCAUUACUACUACUAUUUCUUUCAUUAUUAUUACCAUUACUACUUUUUUUUACAAAAAAAAAACCCUGGACAACACACUGAAACCAUUACUACUUCUACUACUAUAACUUAGGUUGCACCUGAUAGAGCCAGCAAUUUUUCCAAGGUAUGACAAUGGCCAUAUGUUUAAUGAUAUAAUUCUAUGGCUCAGUGUAUCUCAGCCUUUUUAAACCCUGCUCUUCUUUUGACAAUUGUAAAAAUCUUAAACUGACCUCCAGUUGAAAUCCUCUGUCAAGAAGAUAUUGUCGGCCAGGGGCGGUGGCUCACACCUGUAAUCCCAGCACUUUUGGAGGCCGAGGUGGGAGGAUCACUUGAGGUUAGGAGUUCAAGACCAGCCUGGCCAACAUAGUGAAACCCCAUCUCUACUAAAAAUACAAAAAUUAGGCAGGCAUGGUGGUGUGUGCCUGUAAUCCCAGCUACUCAGGAGGCUGAGGUAGGAGAAUUGCUUGAACCUGGCAGGGCAGAGGUUGCAGCAAGCCGAGAUCACGCCACUGCUCUCCAGCCUGGGUGAGACUGUCUCAAAAAAAAAAAAAAAAAAGAAAGAAAGUAAGAAAAAGAAGAAAUCCCAAUCUCUUCUUUUAUGUGGAUUCUUCCUCACUUGAAUAAUACUUUUCUUCCCCAGUAUUCUCCAUAUUAUCCCAGAGUCAGCCCCUCUGUUUUUGUAAAGAUCUACGUAACCUCCUCUAAGUUUCCCAGUUCUCCUCACCUAUCAUAUCAUUUGGCUCAACAAAGGGCAGGAAGCUAGAUUCUAAUUGAUAUUUUGAGGCCGGGAGCAGUGGCUCAUGCCUGUAAUCACAGCACUUUGGGAGGCUGAGGCGGGCAGAUCACUGGAGGUCAGGAGUUCGAGACCAGCCUGGCCAAUAUGGUGAAACCUCGUCUCUACUAAAAAUACAAAAAAUUAGCCAGGCUUGGUGGCUUGUACCUGUAAUCCCAGCUACUCAGGAGGCUGAGGCAGGAGAAUAGCUUAAACCUGGGAGGAAGAGGUUGCAGUGAGCCGAGAUUGCUCAAUUGCACCCCAGCCUGGGUGACAGAGCAAAACUCCAUCUCAAAAACAAACAAACGAACAAACCUGAUAUUUUCAAAAUUGAGGCAAUUAUAACAGCUAUUUAGCCAAGCAUUAUGAUAGCAAUAAUAGCAAGAAAAUAAAUUAGUUAACAAAUGAGUCUCAGAAGCCCAAUGAUUUUUAUUUUAUUUUUAUUUUUUGAACUUUUAUUUUAGAAUCAGGGGAUACAUGUGCAGGUUUGUUACCCGGGUAUAUUGCAUGAUGCUGAGUUUUGGAGUAUGCAUGAAUCCAACCUGUCAUCCAGGUAGUGAGUAUAGUACCCAACAGAUAGUUUUUUUAACAUUUACUUCACUCCCUUCCCCAAUCUUGUAUUCCCCUGUGUCUACUGUUCCCAUUUUUAUGACUGUGCCAACAAUAAUUUUUUUUCUUUUUUCUUUAAAUAGAGAUGGGGGUCUCUAUUUAAAGAGCCUCCCAAAGUGCUAGGAUUACAGGUGUGAUCCAUUGCACCUGGCCCAUGCCAACAAUAUUUGAAACCCUUAUCUGCGUGUACAAGUUUGCUACUGGUUUUGUUUUGCUCAUUAAUACAUCCCAAGCAUCUAUACCUGGCUUGUAGUACCAGCAUGUAGUAGGUGCUUAAUAAAUAUUUAUUGAAUAAAUAAAUUAGUUUGACAUUAGUUUAACAUCUCAAGUAAAACAAAAUACCAUUCAAUUAAUUCUCUUCUUCUACUUUUUUCUUUUAAGAGAGACAAAUAGUCACACAUACAUCAGCAGGAGAGGAUACAAUUUCCUGUGUUUAAGUUUUUAUGAGUUACUUUAGUUCAAAUGUCACAGAAAAUUAUAUUGAACUCUUGACCAAUCUAUCUAUUUUUUCCAUUGGAGUAUUGACCCAAAUAAGAAAUAGCAUAAAGGAAAAAUUAUUUUUUGGCAGAAAAAUAUUCUCUCUAAAUUCUUGUGUGUUUUGUUUUGAUUUUUUCCUUAGUGACUGGAGGCCAGUUUCAAUCCACUGAAGCACAGAUUCCAAAUUUUCAAUCUGGUUUUCUUGAGUAGUGACUGAGUGCCAAAAAUGAAGCAAUGACACAACAUCACCAUCAAGACACUCCCCAGCACGCACACACAUGCCAGAGUCCAACACCAAGAUACUCCCCAGCACGCACACACACGCCAGAGUCCAGGCCAUAUUCGGGUGGCUUGCAAGCUUCUUCCCCCCAAGUAUUUACUCUCAAAAUAAUGGUUUUUGUUUUGUUUUGGUUUGGUUUGGUUUGUUUUUUUCCAAAUACAUUUCUUCCCUAUAUCUUUAACCAAUUCUCAUAAAAUUUUGUCUAAUACACUGGUCAGUGUAUUCCAGACCCUAAAAGAUAACAUAAUGAAACUAUCUAUGACUAAAAGGUAAUCAGGAUCUUCUACUUAUCCUUUUUUCCUCCCUCUUAAACUUUAAUUUUGAUACAUUUGGGAGUGAAAUGAUGACAAUAAAUGCAAAGUAAUUAUUGAAGAAACAGUAAUUUUGUAUUAGCUUACUGAAAAAAAAAAAAAAGAUAACCAAAUAUAUUUUGGCAGCCCCAAACGAGUCACAUGUGAAAUGCAGUGGGAGAGCAGUGUCCUGAAGGAAAAGGUGGCCUGCUGGACAGCCAAGAGAACAAACAUCCACUGCAAGUAAUAUGAGCUCUAAGUUUGGACUAGGCCUAUGUCUGCUCUGAGACUUGGGGCAAUUCACUUAAUCAGAGCCUUAAUCAGCUACGGACUAGCAAUAUCCAUACCCGCUACUUAUUUUGUAAAUCUCCUUUCUAAAGUUAACUCUAUUUAUUGUUCCAUAAUCCCAUAAAUUCUAGAAUCUUUUCCUGUUAUAGCCAAGUUGUCUAUCAUUGACAGAGAUAUUCACCUGGUUGUUUUGGCUUCUCUAAUCCUCCUGGUGAGAACACCUCCAAGGGAGCUUUCAGUGGCAUUUAAGGUCACUUGUGCUCUUGGUCCUAGAAACUGCCUUGAUAGUGGUUUUAGCUCACAUGAGGAAAAACGGAGCCCGAGCAGCUAAGGAUCUUGCCCACGGUCACUGAAUUAGCAAUGCUUGUGAUGAACAUUCCCAAAGCUUUUAUGAGCUCUACGAUCUGGAAUAGGUCUCUUUGUGAUCUGUUCUCCUACUUGCUAAAUAUAUGAAAUAUUAAACUUCAUAAUCACAAAGUUUCUGUAUCCAUCUAAAAAUGCCAAAGAUUGCAUUGCUAUUUAUUGAGCGCCAAUGUUCAGAGAAUGUUGCUACCUAUUGUGGAUGCUAUAACAUGCAUGUAAGAAUUUGUCUCUUGUCUCAAGAGUGCUUACAGUUUAGUUGGAGAGACAUUUAUAUAGACACUUAUGAGACAUGUAAACCACUGACAUAGCCACUUGACAUGGCUGAAGUUCAAAUGUCAAAAGGAUAAGACAUGAACAGCAAUGUAUGCCACAAGGUCCUGCAGAGGGUGAGAUCCAUUUGGCUUGAGGUGUUAGUGAUCAGUCUUCAAAGAGAAAAUAGGAGUUUUAUCUGUGCAUUAAGGCUGAGUUGGAUUUGAAUACAGAGACAGGAGAAGGGAAGUCAUCAUGUGCCUUGAACUAGUGCAAAAGUACAGAGGUAAAGAUAGUCACCGUUAAGCGUCCCACGAUUUAGUACUGAAAAUUGCAGAGAUUACUGAAUGAAUUUAUUAAAGGAAAUAAUUCUGAGUCUGUCAAUACAGUCAUGCAUUGCUUAAUGAUGGAGAUACAUUCUGAGAAACAAAUCCAUAGGUGAUUUCAUCAUUGUGUGAACACCACAGAGUACACAGACCUAGAUGGUAUAGCCUACUAUACACCUAGGCUAUAUAGUAUAGCUGUGAAAGGAAAAUAAAAUCUUGGAAUACUAAACUCACUAUGCCAAAGGGAGAAGUUAAGCUUGGGAAAGAAGUCAUGCAAAAACUGCCUUCCUUUUGCUCCUAAACAGCUGCAGCA
This 7184-nucleotide long non-coding RNA is filed under the name Homo sapiens (human). RNAcentral's name for it is "non-protein coding LUCAT1:20". The record is from RNAcentral. Lineage: Eukaryota; Metazoa; Chordata; Mammalia; Primates; Hominidae.